Etheostoma spectabile (orangethroat darter) is the source of this 196-nucleotide long non-coding RNA. RefSeq lists it as uncharacterized. The transcript has 3 exons. The record is from RefSeq and is a predicted model, not a curated record. NCBI's taxonomy places the organism in Eukaryota, Metazoa, Chordata, Actinopteri, Perciformes, Percidae.
CUCUGAGUAUAAACAAGAGGUAGCAUGUGUACUCCGCCCACUACCGGUUAGCUUAGUCUCAGAGAACGAUAUGUCAUGACUGAUAAGACCCAACCAGGAGGAGAAACGUUGGCGUCAGUGUCGGUGUGGCCAAAGUUCUCUGUUUGCGGCCGUUGAGACUGCAACACAACCCCGCAGAUUCCUAACCAAAACAGAG